Molecule: ribosomal RNA, 274 nt
Filed under: uncultured Staphylococcus sp.
Lineage: Bacteria; Bacillati; Bacillota; Bacilli; Caryophanales; Staphylococcaceae
Description: partial 16S ribosomal RNA
Rfam family: Bacterial small subunit ribosomal RNA
Source: RNAcentral
CAGCUAUACUGCAGUCGAGCGACAGAUAAGGAGCUUGCUCCUUUGACGUUAGCGGCGGACGGGUGAGUAACACGUGGGUAACCUACCUAUAAGACUGGAAUAACUCCGGGAAACCGGGGCUAAUGCCGGAUAACAUUUAGAACCGCAUGGUUCUAAAGUGAAAGAUGGUUUUGCUAUCACUUAUAGAUGGACCCGCGCCGUAUUAGCUAGUUGGUAAGGUAACGGCUUACCAAGGCAACGAUACGUAGCCGACCUGAGAGGGUGAUCGGCCACA